This 73-nucleotide transfer RNA is filed under the name Pseudoflavonifractor phocaeensis. RNAcentral's name for it is "tRNA-Ala". It matches the Rfam family "tRNA". Rfam says of the family: Transfer RNA (tRNA) molecules are approximately 80 nucleotides in length. Their secondary structure includes four short double-helical elements and three loops (D, anti-codon, and T loops). Further hydrogen bonds mediate the characteristic L-shaped molecular structure. tRNAs have two regions of fundamental functional importance: the anti-codon, which is responsible for specific mRNA codon recognition, and the 3' end, to which the tRNAs corresponding amino acid is attached (by aminoacyl-tRNA synthetases). tRNAs cope with the degeneracy of the genetic code in two manners: having more than one tRNA (with a specific anti-codon) for a particular amino acid; and 'wobble' base-pairing, i.e. permitting non-standard base-pairing at the 3rd anti-codon position. The record is from RNAcentral. Lineage: Bacteria; Bacillati; Bacillota; Clostridia; Eubacteriales; Oscillospiraceae.
GGGGGUAUAGCUCAGCUGGAAGAGCACCUGCUUUGCAAGCAGGGGGUCAUCGGUUCGAGCCCGAUUACCUCCA